This 515-nucleotide ribosomal RNA is filed under the name uncultured bacterium. Its description in RNAcentral is "partial 16S ribosomal RNA". It matches the Rfam family "Bacterial small subunit ribosomal RNA", at positions 28 to 523 of the family's 1533-position model. The record is from RNAcentral.
GAUGAACGCUGGCGGCGUGCCUAAUACAUGCAAGUCGAGCGAAUGGAUUAAGAGCUUGCUCUUAUGAAGUUAGUGGCGGACGGGUGAGUAACACGUGGGUAACCUGCCCAUAAGACUGGGAUAACUCCGGGAAACCGGGGCUAAUACCGGAUAACAUUUUGAACCGCAUGGUUCGAAAUUGAAAGGUGGCUUCGGCUGUCACUUAUGGAUGGACCCGCGUCGCAUUAGCUAGUUGGUGAGGUAACGGCUCACCAAGGCAACGAUGCGUAGCCGACCGGAGAGGGUGAUCGGCCACACUGGGACUGAGACACGGCCCAGACCCCUACGGGAGGCAGCAGUAGGGAAUCUUCCGCAAUGGACGAAAGUCUGACGGAGCAACGCCGCGUGAGUGAUGAAGGCUUACGGGUCGUAAAACUCUGUUGUUAGGGAAGAACAAGUGCUAGUUGAAUAAGCUGGCACCUUGACGGUACCUAACCAGAAAGCCACGGCUAACUACGUGCCAGCCGCCGCAGUAA